RNAcentral lists this long non-coding RNA (1535 nucleotides) under Homo sapiens (human). Its description in RNAcentral is "HSALNT0355725". The record is from RNAcentral. Lineage: Eukaryota; Metazoa; Chordata; Mammalia; Primates; Hominidae.
CUGCCUCCUCAAGUCGGGAGCGAGACCAGAAGGAACACCCGAGACUCCGACAUCAGCGUCAGCUGCAGGGGCUCCCGGAAGGACAAGCCUGUCCCUGGAUGCUCAUAAGCAGAGUGGCUACAGUGCAGCAAGGAAACCUUCCAGCAAACACUGCACUUGGCACAGCCGCAGGUCACGUCCCUGCCCACCAGGACCUCUCUGUGAUAAGGGCCAACGAUGUUUCCAUUCCUGUUCAUGAAAUCACUUGGCGAUGAGUGAAAUCUGUGUGCGUUGUAACAACAAAUGACUGCAACAGAAAAUCACCAGAUUUCCAUCAUAACUCAAAUGCCAGCCAGGCUUGGUGGAUGGGCUCCUCGCUGAAAUCUCCAUAGCUGCAUAAUCAUUAGCAGUGAGAACAGUCACCUACACGUGAAAGAAUGACUAGAGGAAAACAAUUCACUCCACUUAAGCAAAGUGAUGCUCCCUUUGGCUAAUCUAAAUACCUUGGGGUUUUGCUAGGUCUUCUCCUUCCUCUCUUCUUCGAGUAGAUGAUGGAACUUUGAAAGCCAGCGUGGGAGAGCAUUACAUGGCUGGAUGAAAACUCUGCUGGGUUUACAGUGAGCUGGCUCAUUAUUCAGUGAAACCUCCAUCCUUAUUCAGCCUUGAAUAUUUAAAUCCAUACAGAUCGGAACUGUACUCCGGAGCCUGGGAACACCGUGCAAUGCGCUCUAAAUCCCUGCUUUCAUGCGCAUGAAAGACCCGUCAUUUUUACCCCUCCUACCAGCCUAAUUGACCGCAUUUCCGUGAACACUCGCUUGCUGGUUCCUAGCAAUGAAGACUGUGGGGUCCUUUCUUUCCAAGGUUGUGCUGGAAAGUGGAGAAGGUAAAGGGGAAAGCAACAGGCAGGCAAGGGGAAUCCGGGAGAAGGGACUCAUCUGCAGCAGUCAUGCCUCUCAUGGAAUCACAGGCCAGGCUAUGAGGAAGAAACGCGGGCUUUGCUCUCGGUCACCUAAUGACGCUUUGUCAUUUUUAAAGGGCAUUGCACUGUGAUUGCCAUGGAUACAUGAAAAGAUAAUGUGCUAUUUUUAGCAUGAAGCAUAAAAUAAAAUCCAAAGUUGGGCAAUAUGACCCUCACGCCUCCAGAGAGCCUCAUUAAAAUGAGAUGUUUCCCUUCAGAGGUGAACUCAGUAAGUAACGUUUAAAUUUCUUAAUCAGGCCACACAGAGUUCCCAAAUAAAAAAUAGUUCUGAAAACAAAUCCUUCUGUCAGAGCCCGGGGCUUGCACCAUGGCAGCAAAAUCCUUCUGACUUAAAGUGGAGGGAGGAGGUGGUCUCUGAAUGAAAGACAUUUCAAAUUUUCAGUGUUCUAAUUGAGGAAUAAAAUGGUAUAUAUUCAGCUAGAAAGUAACCAUUGGAUCAAAUUAUACAGUCUUUUGAGUAAGCCAAUGUCAGCUUAAUAAUAUUUUAGCAUAUAAUAAAGUCGUGUGUAUCAAUUCUCAUUUUGAACCCAGGUUGAAUGUUACUGCUUCAAACAGUAAAUAAAAACUGAGAUUCUGA